UACGGGGGGGGCAAGCGUUGUUCGGAAUUACUGGGCGUAAAGGGCGCGUAGGCGGCCUUCUAAGUCGGACGUGAAAUCCCUCGGCUUAACCGAGGAACUGCGUCCGAUACUGAAAGGCUUGAAUCCGGGAGAGGGAUGUGGAAUUCCAGGUGUAGCGGUGAAAUGCGUAGAUAUCUGGAGGAACACCGGUGGCGAAGGCGGCAUCCUGGACCGGUAUUGACGCUGAGGCGCGAAAGCGUGGGGAGCAAACGGG
RNAcentral lists this ribosomal RNA (253 nucleotides) under uncultured bacterium. RNAcentral describes it as "partial 16S ribosomal RNA". It matches the Rfam family "Bacterial small subunit ribosomal RNA", at positions 524 to 776 of the family's 1533-position model. The record is from RNAcentral.